Molecule: small nuclear RNA, 153 nt
Gene: U2
Rfam family: U2 spliceosomal RNA
About the family: U2 is a small nuclear RNA (snRNA) component of the spliceosome (involved in pre-mRNA splicing). Complementary binding between U2 snRNA (in an area lying towards the 5' end but 3' to hairpin I) and the branchpoint sequence (BPS) of the intron results the bulging out of an unpaired adenosine, on the BPS, which initiates a nucleophilic attack at the intronic 5' splice site, thus starting the first of two transesterification reactions that mediate splicing.
Source: Ensembl
AUUGCUUCUUGGCCUUUUGGCUAAGAUCAAGUGUAGAACCUGACAACUCUACCUAGUAAAGUAUUGAAAAAUACCUGUAUUAUCACUACUAUUUAACUCACAUGUGAAGAUUUUGAUUUAAUUGGCCUAUGGGAGGUCCUGAGCCAAGUGUUU